UUCCUGCUGUGAAGUAUUUAACCUCCGUCUGAUAUUCAGUGCAUCUGCAGCGGCAAGUUAAAGGAUCGCUAUGACGACUCAAGUUCUCAUCACACUCGUAGCCUCCGCUCUGUGGAUCCAAGUUCAUUGCCAGGAUGUGACCCAAUCCCCUGACAUCAGCUGGAGCUUUGCAUCCCAAUCAGCAGAGAUGAACUGCAGCCACAAAAAGGACUUUUCUUAUAACCAGAUGUACUGGUACAGGCAGCGACCAGGGGAGACCAUGAGGCUCAUCGUCUACACAGCUGCUGGUGGCCAGCCGGACUACGGUGGAGUGUCUCAAACUAAAUACACAGCAAGCAAAGAAAAAUACGACUACGGGGCUCUAACGGUGAAAGAUCUGCAGCCUGAAGACAGCGGAGUGUAUUUUUGUGCCGUUGGCAAACCAGGGGGGGAUAAUGCUGAAGCUUACUUCGGUGGAGGAACGAAAUUAACCGUUUUAGGUAAGAAACUCACAAAACAGCAUCAUAACUGAAGAGUUCUUGAACAUAAAUCUAGUUAAACUUCAGGUCGAUGCUUUCUGUUCUUAAAAAAUGAGUCUUAUUUUAGCCAGAGAAUGAAACUGUUCUUAUGAGGUAAAACUAUAUUAUAAAGCUGCUAAUGGAGACGUUUGUCCUGCAGAUAUUUAGUAAUGACAGACUAAAGUUGUUGGUUUGGAAGAAGAGUUGCAUUUAUGAUGAAGCUAAACAGUAAAGAAGCAAAGUAGAAGCAGCAUCCUGGAUUGUUUUUAUACUGAUCAGCUGCACUGUGACUCUGGUGUUGGUAAUGAAGCUUACUUCGGUGGAGGAACUAAAUUAACCGUUUUAGGUAAGAAAACAUUAAAUGUGGCUCAGAAAUGUUUUGUCUAGAGGCACAAACAAUCUCCAUUAGUUAUACCUGCUGCUAGAUUAGGAAAUCUUCGACUAUAUUAAUUACAGAGAGUAAAAGGUAAUAAGUGAGGCAGUAGGAAGAGUUUUUGUUGCAGCUGAAAGUCUCUGUGCUCCAACACCGAGGCUUACUUUGGAGCUGGAACUAAACUCACUGUUUUAGGUAAGAAAACAGCUAAAAGCUCAUUGAAUAUAGUUUAGAAAUGAAUCUGUAAAGAUGUUUUUAAUACUGUCAAGAUGAACUACAAGGCUCAAACAACCAUUAAUAGUUAUAACUGCAACUAGA
Stegastes partitus (bicolor damselfish) is the source of this 1188-nucleotide non-coding RNA. Lineage: Eukaryota; Metazoa; Chordata; Actinopteri; Pomacentridae. The record is from the annotation of a RefSeq genome assembly.